GGCUCUGUAGCUAAGUCGGUGAAGCACUAGUGUAGCAUAUAAGGGUCGUGAGUUAAAAUCUCACUUGAGCUU
This is a non-coding RNA of Aedes albopictus (Asian tiger mosquito), 72 nucleotides long. The record is from Rfam. Lineage: Eukaryota; Metazoa; Arthropoda; Insecta; Diptera; Culicidae.